RNAcentral lists this ribosomal RNA (480 nucleotides) under Flavobacterium sp. DB1.1-1. Its description in RNAcentral is "bacterial SSU rRNA". It matches the Rfam family "Bacterial small subunit ribosomal RNA", at positions 11 to 492 of the family's 1533-position model. Lineage: Bacteria; Pseudomonadati; Bacteroidota; Flavobacteriia; Flavobacteriales; Flavobacteriaceae. The record is from RNAcentral.
GUUUGAUCCUGGCUCAGGAUGAACGCUAGCGGCAGGCUUAACACAUGCAAGUCGAGGGGUAUGGUUCUUCGGAACCAGAGACCGGCGCACGGGUGCGUAACGCGUAUGCAAUCUACCUUUCACAGAGGGAUAGCCCAGAGAAAUUUGGAUUAAUACCUCAUAGUAUAAUGAUAUGGCAUGAUUCUAUUAUUAAAGUCACAACGGUGAAAGAUGAGCAUGCGUCCCAUUAGCUAGAUGGUAAGGUAACGGCUUACCAAGGCUACGAUGGGUAGGGGUCCUGAGAGGGAGAUCCCCCACACUGGUACUGAGACACGGACCAGACUCCUACGGGAGGCAGCAGUGAGGAAUAUUGGACAAUGGGCGCAAGCCUGAUCCAGCCAUGCCGCGUGCAGGAUGACGGUCCUAUGGAUUGUAAACUGCUUUUGCACAGGAAGAAACACUACUUCGUGAAGUAGCUUGACGGUACUGUGAGAAUAAGGA